CACAGAGCUGAGCCAAGGGAUUUAAAGGGACCAACCAAGGGAGGUGAAGAAAGAAGGAAGAAGGGAAGUGAGGCAGUAGACAAGCACCACUAAGUUACACUGUAAACAGGUGAGUUCUCUUGAAAUUCCUAAGGCGGGCACUGAGGACUUUGAGGGCUCCAGACAGAGCAGACCUGCGAAGGGCCUCGGUGAAGCCCCUUGGAAACCUUCUAAGGGUUUUUCCAAGUGCUGCCCAGCACGGGGAUCCGUGUGCUGGGACAGUGAUUGGCAGGAGGAAGGGGAGCCUUGGCCUCACCUGCCCAGCUCAGGCCAGGCCAAAGCCCUGACUGCAGC
Pipra filicauda (Wire-tailed manakin) is the source of this 333-nucleotide long non-coding RNA. RefSeq lists it as uncharacterized. The transcript is spliced from 3 exons. NCBI's taxonomy places the organism in Eukaryota, Metazoa, Chordata, Aves, Passeriformes, Pipridae. The record is from RefSeq and is a predicted model, not a curated record.